AUUGAACGCUGGCGGCAUGCCUUACACAUGCAAGUCGAACGGCAGCACGGGAGCAAUCCUGGUGGCGAGUGGCGAACGGGUGAGUAAUAUAUCGGAACGUGCCCAGCCGUGGGGAUAACGUAGCGGAAGCUACGCUAAUACCGCAUACGAUCUAUGGAUGAAAGCGGGGGAUCGCAAGACCUCGCGCGAUUGGAGCGGCCGAUAUCAGAUUAGGUAGUUGGUGAGGUAAAGGCUCACCAAGCCGACGAUCUGUAGCUGGUCUGAGAGGACGACCAGCCACGCUGGGACUGAGACACGGCCCAGACUCCUACGGGAGGCAGCAGUGGGGAAUAUUGGACAAUGGNGGAAAGACCGUGAUCCAGCAAU
This 366-nucleotide ribosomal RNA is filed under the name uncultured bacterium. RNAcentral's name for it is "bacterial SSU rRNA". It matches the Rfam family "Bacterial small subunit ribosomal RNA", at positions 30 to 395 of the family's 1533-position model. The record is from RNAcentral.